GUCAAAUUAUUUACUAGAAAAAACAUUUUUAUGAAGGGAAAAUAAUAUAUGUGAGUUUAAAUAGGAGACAGGAUUCAAAUUUUCAUCAUUUCACAAAAUGCAUCUCCAUCUGAAUUGUCGUGUGCUUUUUGUGAUAGAGAAGAGAAUGAGGAGCAAGCAAGAGUCCAUGUUCCUGUUAAGCCCUGGCCGUCCUUCUCAUCCACGGUGCUGCCUGUGGAGAACACACCUGGGGCUCCUCUGAGCCUGCUUGUGCUAUGUGUCACUCGGAUAGUUCCGCAACCGACUCGCGUGCAACAGGCAGUAAACACCGAUGUCGUGAAUGAACGAAGAAACUACCACAAAGAGGAAACGAGGCACUUUUGUCCCUGCACGUCAUUCUAACCAUGGGAUUGUGGGUCCUGAGUAGGACCCAAGUGAUCAGAAAGGAUAUCACAUAGUCAGUGAUCAGCUGAGACUAAGUACGGACAGGGGAAGAAGAAUAUCCACUAGACUUUCACAAGUCACCAGUCAUGGAUUUCAGGAUCUGACUGCUUGUCAUCUUGGGAGACAUCAAGAUCUGACUGCUUGUCUUCAUGGAGAUGUCAGGAUCUGAGUGCUUGUCACCACGGAGACAUCAGGAUCUGACUGCUUGUCAUCUUGGGAGACGUCAGGAUCUGACUGCUUGUCAUCACGGGAGACGUCAGGAUCUGACUGCUUGUCAUCUUGGGAGACGUCAGGAUCUGAGUGCUUGUUACCACGGGAGACAUCAGGAUCUGACUGCUUGUCUUCAUGGGAGACGUCAGGUUCUGAGUUCCUGA
RNAcentral lists this long non-coding RNA (797 nucleotides) under Pongo abelii (Sumatran orangutan). RNAcentral's name for it is "lncRNA (ENSPPYG00000030742.1)". The record is from RNAcentral. Lineage: Eukaryota; Metazoa; Chordata; Mammalia; Primates; Hominidae.